AUAUACAUUCCUACAACAUAGCGUUAAUGCAGUGGAUCCCAUUAGAACUUUGUAGUUAAGAGCUCUCAGGCUAGAGUAGUACUGGAAUGGGUGACUGCCAAGGAAGUCCUAGUAUUUUACAUG
Non-coding RNA from Picea glauca (white spruce), 123 nucleotides. The record is from Rfam. NCBI's taxonomy places the organism in Eukaryota, Viridiplantae, Streptophyta, Pinopsida, Pinales, Pinaceae.